GAAAUGCGAUAAGUAAUGUGAAUUGCAGAUUUUCAGUGAAUCAUCGAAUCUUUGAACGCACCUUGCGCUCCUUGGUAUUCCGAGGAGCAUGCCUGUUUGAGUGUCAUUAAAUCAUCAAACCCCGGGCGGUUUUCGCUUUGGGGGGUUUGGAAUUUGGGGGUUGUGCUGGCGUGAGUCGGCUCCCCUUAAACGCAUCAGCGGGAUUUUGAAACCCCAUCUGGCUUUGGCGUGAUAACCGUGUUGCGUCGUGGUUCAGGGGGUUUGUGGAGCUCCCGCUCACAAUGGUCCUUCGGACAAUGGCUUUUUGACGCAUCUGACCUCAAAUCAGGUAGGACUACCCGCUGAACUUAA
Molecule: unclassified non-coding RNA, 351 nt
Filed under: uncultured Agaricomycetes
Lineage: Eukaryota; Fungi; Basidiomycota; Agaricomycetes
Description: sequence contains ITS1
Rfam family: 5.8S ribosomal RNA (bases 1-106)
Source: RNAcentral